RNAcentral lists this long non-coding RNA (388 nucleotides) under Carica papaya (papaya). RNAcentral describes it as "long non-coding RNA (CPAP_LNC014697)". Lineage: Eukaryota; Viridiplantae; Streptophyta; Magnoliopsida; Brassicales; Caricaceae. The record is from RNAcentral.
AAAGAUAUUUUUCACUCUUUAUCACGCUAUAUUAGUUAUUCAUUGUCAAAGAUUCAUAUAUAGGUAAAGAAUUUUUUUAAGUAAUAAUAAUUUUUAUUAAAUCAUAAGAUGUUACGUACAAUAUUACCAGAGAAUACUUUAGGAAGCUAACCAAAAUGCGGGGUAUAUAAUGAUAGUCAUAAUUAUAUAACGGGAAUAGAUUCUAAGAUAUAUCUAGUAAAAAAUACAACCAUCAUCAUCAAUCCAAAGUUGCUCCGGACCUUGGCCUUUACACAAUGUUUCUCUCCUCCUUAAGGCAUUUAUACAAGCAUGAUAUCAACUUUCCUCAGCAGCUCACAGUUCAACCACUUUAAGAACUCUAGAAUACUGGCAUAAAAACUAUCUUCAU